RNAcentral lists this ribosomal RNA (558 nucleotides) under Triticum aestivum (bread wheat). RNAcentral's name for it is "partial small subunit ribosomal RNA". Lineage: Eukaryota; Viridiplantae; Streptophyta; Magnoliopsida; Poales; Poaceae. The record is from RNAcentral.
UUAAACGCACAGCAACUGACGUACAUCAAGUUGAUUGGACUGGGUGAACUUCUCAAGACUCCUGGCAUGAGAAUGAGACGUCUACUGUGCCAGGCCAUCGCUUAUUCAUAUGAUGCAGAGCAGGAUGCCUUUAUAAUUAAUGGGAGACCAUGUAGGAUCACACUAAAAGAAGUUGAGCAUAUAACAGGCCUGCCCUGCAUGGGGAAGAAUCACGUCUCUUCAAAUCACAACGAUACUUUGGAGUUGUGGAAGGAACUUAAAGACCCCAAUGGCACGAAAGUAACUUUGAAAGGAUUGCUAGCCAAGAUGAAAGGCGACAACACACCUAAUUUUGUCAGGCCAUUUGUCUUGUACACCAUAGGCAAAUAUGUAUGCCCGACAACACAGCAGUAUGUGGACAACAGAUACCUUGGGAUUGUUAGAAACGUUGAGACAAUAAAGAGCACCAAUUUUGGACAACUUACACUUGACCACCUUAUGGCUAGCGUCAGGAAAUUUGUAAAUGGUGGAGCAAAUCUGGAGGGCAACCUACCACUGCUGCAAGUAAUACAAUCAUUA